UGUUUUUCAUAUUGGUUAAUU
RNAcentral lists this non-coding RNA (21 nucleotides) under Caenorhabditis elegans. Lineage: Eukaryota; Metazoa; Nematoda; Chromadorea; Rhabditida; Rhabditidae. The record is from RNAcentral.